GUGAGGAAUAUUGGACAAUGGGCGCAAGCCUGAUCCAGCCAUGCCGCGUGCAGGAAGACGCAUCUAUGGUGUGUAAACUGCUUUUGUACGGGAAGAAACACUCCCUCGUGAGGGAGCUUGACGGUACCGUAAGAAUAAGGAUCGGCUAACUCCGUGCCAGCAGCCGCGGUAAUACGGAGGAUCCAAGCGUUAUCCGGAAUCAUUGGGUUUAAAGGGUCCGUAGGCGGUUUAAUAAGUCAGUGGUGAAAGCCCAUCGCUCAACGAUGGAACGGCCAUUGAUACUGUUAGACUUGAAUUACAAGGAAGUAACUAGAAUAUGUAGUGUAGCGGUGAAAUGCUUAGAUAUUACAUGGAAUACCAAUUGCGAAGGCAGGUUACUACUUGUGGAUUGACGCUCAUGCACGAAAGCGUGGGGAGCAAACAGGAUUAGAAACCCUGGUAGUCC
RNAcentral lists this ribosomal RNA (445 nucleotides) under uncultured bacterium. RNAcentral's name for it is "partial 16S ribosomal RNA". It matches the Rfam family "Bacterial small subunit ribosomal RNA", at positions 354 to 796 of the family's 1533-position model. The record is from RNAcentral.